This 537-nucleotide ribosomal RNA is filed under the name Aspergillus flavus. RNAcentral describes it as "eukaryotic LSU rRNA". The stretch from base 155 to 308 matches the Rfam family "5.8S ribosomal RNA". Lineage: Eukaryota; Fungi; Ascomycota; Eurotiomycetes; Eurotiales; Aspergillaceae. The record is from RNAcentral.
CCUCCCACCCGUGUUUACUGUACCUUAGUUGCUUCGGCGGGCCCGCCAUUCAUGGCCGCCGGGGGCUCUCAGCCCCGGGCCCGCGCCCGCCGGAGACACCACGAACUCUGUCUGAUCUAGUGAAGUCUGAGUUGAUUGUAUCGCAAUCAGUUAAAACUUUCAACAAUGGAUCUCUUGGUUCCGGCAUCGAUGAAGAACGCAGCGAAAUGCGAUAACUAGUGUGAAUUGCAGAAUUCCGUGAAUCAUCGAGUCUUUGAACGCACAUUGCGCCCCCUGGUAUUCCGGGGGGCAUGCCUGUCCGAGCGUCAUUGCUGCCCAUCAAGCACGGCUUGUGUGUUGGGUCGUCGUCCCCUCUCCGGGGGGGACGGGCCCCAAAGGCAGCGGCGGCACCGCGUCCGAUCCUCGAGCGUAUGGGGCUUUGUCACCCGCUCUGUAGGCCCGGCCGGCGCUUGCCGAACGCAAAUCAAUCUUUUUCCAGGUUGACCUCGGAUCAGGUAGGGAUACCCGCUGAACUUAAGCAUAUCAAUAAGGCGGAGG